Molecule: transfer RNA, 143 nt
Filed under: Ceraceosorus bombacis
Lineage: Eukaryota; Fungi; Basidiomycota; Exobasidiomycetes; Ceraceosorales; Ceraceosoraceae
Rfam family: tRNA
About the family: Transfer RNA (tRNA) molecules are approximately 80 nucleotides in length.
Source: Rfam by way of RNAcentral
GUGCGCUUGGCGCAGUGGUAGCGCGUCUCCCUCCUAAUUAGGAACAUGUUAGCAUGGCGUAAAUCGGACGGAGGGCGUUUUACUGCCCGAACGUCUGAAGAAUUCCAAGGAGAAAGUCGUGGGUUCGACCCCCACAGUGCAUA